This 31-nucleotide non-coding RNA is filed under the name Mus musculus (house mouse). Lineage: Eukaryota; Metazoa; Chordata; Mammalia; Rodentia; Muridae. The record is from RNAcentral.
UGACACGAGAAUGUAUGUUGAGUGCCUGGUC